UGAUCAAAUUCAAUAUGAACGGCUUAGUCCUGAAAAUUUUAAAUUAACUUUACAUUCAAGACAAUAUAAGAAUAUACUUAUAUAAAAUUGAUAAGCAAGAUUAAUUCUAUGCAAAAACAUAAAUCUCAGUUGGGACCAAUGCAUUCUCCCAAUUUAGGCUGAGAUUUACUUUACAUCUUACAACGGGACCAAUGCAUAAAACAUAAAUCUCACUCUUUUUUUCUUCUCCUUUUCAAGUCUUAAGCUGGACCAAUGCGUUCUCAUUCUCAAUUUUAACAACAUCAUCCCUAACAAUUUAGCAACCCACUUGUCAGGAAGCAAAAUUUGUAUCCUGCUUCCUUAUGUCAAAUAGUUAAUUAUCAGAUAGUGAACUAUAAACUAGUAACCUGCAAGUCAUUGAUCUAACAGUUUCUGAUCUCGAAUAAUCACUUAUAAGUUAUAAAUUCCAUGUCUGUAUAUAUUGGGAUGGGAUGCAAAUAGAUCAAUUAUGGGCAUGGAGUUGCAUCGUUGUUCUUUUGGCCUAAAAAAUGUGCAAUUGUUCAAGAGAUAACUUCCGAAUGACACUUUUGAUGCUUUUAAAGAAGAUUGUUUGUCCCGUGAGCAUAGCUCAGUUAGUAGGACAAUGCAUUAUUAUAUGCAGGGGUCGGGGUUCGAAUCCCGGACACCCCACUUAUUCACCUUAUAAGGUAAAUUCUAGCCACUAGACUACCUAACAAAAAAAAGGACACAAUAUUGCACAUAUCAACCCCUUGAGCCAAUGUGGUUUGGAUAAGAGGAACUAACUUAACUGCUCAAAUAAAUAAAUAUUUUACUGCAAACAGGAUUAGAGUAAAAAAGUGAGAAAAUAAAGCACAUGACAUCAAUUGCAACUUUUUUUUGAAAAAAAGAAUAUGGAGAAUGUUAACCGGUGCCUCUGGGGCAUUGGUUAAACAGCCAGAAGUAAUAAGAUUUUAUUAAAGAGUGGAGUAAUAAUUAGUUGAUCAAAAGUAAAAGUUUAUAUUUGUAAGACAGUUUUUCUACUUUUGAAUUCCUUAAUCAAUGCUCCGAGGACACCGAUUAACAAGAUCCAAAGAAUAUGACAAUCAGACAAAUCACUAUGCACCUUAAUCAUGAGGGGAGGAAGAAUAGCUGUCAGAUGUCUUCCAUGAUCUUUUUUUUUUUUCUUUCAGCAAAUGAAUCUUCUUUUGAUGCCAACUCAACUGAAAUCCACAAAUAAUACCAGCAACAAUAUUGAAAUCAAAUCAAUAUACUAUAAAUUAAAAUGCAUACACGUUAUAAUGUUCAAUUGAUCAAUCAUAGAGAUAAAAUUUGAAUUGUACCAAAAAAAUAAAAAAGUGAUAAAAUGUGAAAGCCAUAGUACAAAUACAGUUUCAUUUCAACGUAGCAUGCCAAUGUGAAUGAUCGUCGAAAUAAUGAAAGAAGACAACAAAUAUUUCAAACAGAAACAAAUAAAUUCAAGGCAAACUAUCAACCACACACUCAGACACUUCCAUCCAAUUUGUUCCGUGACUGAUAAAUGGAUCAUUUGCUUAUUUUAGAAUCACAAUAUCGAUUUGAUAUGGCUUCAUUUGGUCAAUCAUGUUGCUAUAUAUGGUUAUUUUUCCUUCAUAAUAU
RNAcentral lists this long non-coding RNA (1614 nucleotides) under Medicago truncatula (barrel medic). RNAcentral describes it as "long non-coding RNA (MTRU_LNC000936)". The record is from RNAcentral. Lineage: Eukaryota; Viridiplantae; Streptophyta; Magnoliopsida; Fabales; Fabaceae.